This is a long non-coding RNA of Pyrus x bretschneideri (Chinese white pear), 744 nucleotides long. RefSeq lists it as uncharacterized. The record is from RefSeq and is a predicted model, not a curated record. Lineage: Eukaryota; Viridiplantae; Streptophyta; Magnoliopsida; Rosales; Rosaceae. The transcript has 2 exons.
CAACCCCCUCUUUAAAUUGCUUUCCCUAUCCUCCCUCUCAUCUCUUUAGUUAUGUUGGUGUAUUGCUUUUUCGAUGCCUUUGGUUGUCGAUUUGAGAAAUCACCCUAUAUUUUUUGUGCUUUAUUUGAAGUCUUCGUGGCAGUCCUCGCCAUCACCCUUUUAUCAUUGUUUUUUUGUGUCUUGGCAAAGCCAAUCCUUAUCCUAAAACCCUUCAACCUCAAACAUCUGUCAUCUUUCAACUUGUUCAUCUGCCUCUUCUUCCUACCCACCGUCCUUCCUACAACCUCUUCUCAAGCCAAGAGCGACACACCUGGUUUAGUCUACAGAUCUAAGCCCUCUAAUCAUGGCACUACACUCGACCUGCAUGCCGGAAAAUCAGGGCCAAGCAUGUUGCGGCUUUGCCUAAAGUGAAGGUGUUUUAGAUGCCCCCUUAGCCCUACCCCCUUGAUUUUUGUUUUGGUUUUUGGUUUUACUUGUAGGUGCUCGUGUUUGUGGUUCAAAUCCGUUGGCUCUUUUUCGAUGUUACAGCUUUGGUGAGUUGGUUUUCUUCCGGUGACUACUUUUGUGGUUGCUGCCGAGGUGAUGGCGGCAGUGGAGGUCGAGCUGUGUGAGUUGAAGAUUAGGUUGUUCUUUUUUUUUUUGGGUAAAUUUCAUUUUGUACCCUCAAGUAUGAGUGCAAUUACAACCUCAUACAUCAUCUUUAAAACAUUACAAUUUCAUACACCAAAUAUGAUUUAGUUGCAA